CGGACGUUACGUCACGCGUGCUAAUGGUUAAUGGCUUCCUCGGUCGAGCUAUCUUUUAUGAGCGAGCCAAAAUCCAAUCGAAAGAAAACACAUGAGACAUGAUGCGAUCGGCCGCUAGAUUCAUAAAAAUAUGAUCGCCUGAGCGCCGUACGGUCGCGGUACAGAUUAAUUUUUGGCCAAGGGAAUAUCGUUCGUCCGCGAGUAAUGUGCUGAAAUUGCUCUGCGCGAAGAAGCAACGACGAGCGAGACGACGUAACCGUUACGCACCCUCAUCGACCUUUAACGUGCUGGUUUCGGGCCUGAUGCGAAGGACACCGAGGCUUGCCACGACGCCGCAGGACAUACAUCGCACUAGGUGACAUGCCUAGCACUCGUGAUAUCGAACGAGCCGAACGUAAUGGGAGGUUUCGCUCACGAAGAAGAGGCAGUACAGGCAGUGACGUGAAUCGGCACAGUUUUGACAGUACUGACAAGCGGCACAGGAGGCAUGGCAAGAGCAAGAGCUCUGGAAAGAAGAAAAAGAAACGUUCGCGCGACAAGUCACUGGAGAACGUUCCAACUGUAGCUUCGUCGGUUGUCAAACCAUUAGUCGAGUAUUCUGACGUAAGUAGCGAGGACCUCUCCGAGCCAGAAGCGGGGGAGAUACAGUCGGAGGAUAGUCGCGCGAAUAGUUAUACGGAUGGCGAAGUACCUGAACCGCUCCUUCAGAGGCGAUAUUACGGCGGCAGUCCGGUACGAGCUCUUGGAGCAUCGCCUAUCAGUCUGUCGCCGUCACCGCCGGUUCAACACCGACACUCCGGUAGACACUAUUCCUCACCCAAUGAGCAGCAACAGCCGACGACGAUGCACGGCGCGAGCUCGGAAUAUGAGGAGGAAUCGAGACGAUACGCUCGACGGAAAGAGAAGAAGCACAAACGCGAGAAGAAGAAGAAGAGGAGCCCGAGUCCGUCGUCGAAUUCCGGGAAGAAGAAGAAGAGAAAAUCCAAGAGGCACUCUCACAGUCUGAGCCCACAUCGCACCAUCACCGAGGAGAUCAUCCUGAGUCCGGAUCAUGAGAAGCAAUCGCCAUCGAGCGCCGCCGUUGCCAAUUGGUCAGAAUCGCCCCUGUUGCCGUUAAAUAGCACGUCGCCGAUUUCACCGGCCACGCCGCAAGAGCAGAGGUGUCCCAGUGAUGACGCGGAGAUCGAGAUGUCGAGGCAGACGUGCCGGAACGUCACGCCACCGCCAAUGUUGUCGGCGCGACAGACGGAAUCGCCGCACACGCCGCUGCUGCCUCCACGUGCCGGCGCUACCACGCCGGAAAAUCUGAAUAAGGUCACGUUGGUGUCGAAGCACAGCAGUCCCGACCGGCAAAAACGCAGUCCCAGUAUUCACGCAGUGCGACGCGCCAGCAUCAGUCCCGCACCCGUCGGCCCGAGUCGUAGGCGGCCUCACAGCCCAAGCCCACCGUCGAGGCGAAGGGAUCACAGUUCACCGCCGCGAAGAAGAGAUUUCAGUCCUAACCCGGUACUGCAUAGGCUCAGGCAUAGUCCGAGCCCGGCUACGGUCAGACGACGGGAAUUCAGUCCGAGUCCCGUGAGCAGGCGACGAACCGACAGUGGAGCUGCGUCUCCCAAGCGCAGGAGACGAGAUGAGCCCGAUCGACGUCACCGGCAUCACGACAAGGACAGGAGGGACAAACGGAAAUCGAGAUCGACCAGAAGCCCCACUGGAAGCAGAUUACACAUGCCGCUAUCCCGAUCGCGAUCCCGCAGUCCGGGAAGAUGGCGCAAGUUGUCACGCUCGAGGUCGCGCUCACGCAGAAGGAGUCGCACCCCGAAGAAAUCGCGCUCGCCCAGCAAAUCACACAAAUCAACGAGGAAACACAAAUCGAAGAGCCCGCGCCCUAGAAUACCUUCGCCUUCCCCUCACAGGUCCCGCGCUAGAAGCCCGUCGAGCAUCACCGCUCGAAAUCUCCGGGUGCAAGCGAAAAUUAGCGAGACCAGUCUGUUCGCAGAGCUGGUGAAGGAUCGGAACAUGCGGGAGUUGGCGUACAAAAAGUUACAGGCGGCGAAGGAGAAAGCUGUGAAUCAGGACGAGGUGCAGAUCAUAGAAGGCACCGACGAGAAGGACGGCGGUAGCAGCAACGUGUCCUCCGAGAACAAAACUUCCACUGACAAUAAGGACAGAUCCGUUAAUCACAAGGAGCAUGCUAGUAAGAGCGGCGAGGGCGCAGUUAAAUGCGUUGACGUCGUCGACAUUCCUAUUCCAACCAGUGACGAGGUCGCCUUGGCGGGCAAGACGCCGCCGUUGCCGCCGACUGGGCAACCAGUCGGCGCACCGUUGCCUCCCACGGCGACGAAUCCUCUCGUGCCCCAUGCGAUUGUACAUAACUCUCCCAACAACCCACCCAUAAUACCCAACAACUGCCCAACAAUCACCGUAUCACACAGCCCGAAUUUCCCGGCUCCGGCUCCCGGUGUGCAACAACCACCGCCGCCGCCGCUGCCGCCACCACUGCCUCAGUCCGCCGAGUCGACAGUCUUGCCGCAAAUAUCCGUGUCUGUACCUAUUACGGUGCCGCCAAUCCCGCCAACGCCGGUUCUACCGAACAUGUCUGUCCCACCGCCGCCGAUCCCGCCGAUUCCCGUUCCGGCACCGAACACGAUCAUGUCCAAGUUCAAUCCACCAAAUAAUCUCGUACCGUUGAAGUCGGUGGAUCCUCCGAAGCCACCGAUAGUAACAUUUACGACGAAAAGUCUGAAGCGAUUGCCCUUGCCACCUGGCAUCAAUCAGAACGAUUUGGAGAGCAUAGACUCUCCACCGAGUCGUUCCCCGAGUCCUCCAAAUAAGGCGCAGCUCAAGUUCCCACCGUCGACGCCGAAGCCACCGCUGAAGAAGGGCAUCAAGGACUUGCCGAUGCCACCAGUUGUACCUGGAUCGGAAGACCUGAGCGGUGAGGACGACCCGAACGCGACGCCGCCGCGCUCGAAGGUCGAGCGGGUUGCACCAAAGCCGAAACUGAAGAGACCGAAAAUACUGAAGCGCAGAGGGUCACGCAACUGCCACACUCCCAUGUCCGCCUCCGGCGGCAAGGACUGGGGCGAACGUUGCGUUGACGUUUUCGAGUUUAUAACGCAGAUCGGGGAAGGUACUUACGGACAGGUGUACAAGGCACGGGACAAACGGGCCGGCGUGCUGGUAGCGCUGAAGAAAGUCAGGCUUGAGAAUGAGAAGGAGGGAUUCCCCAUCACGGCGGUCAGAGAAAUCAAGAUUUUACGACAGCUCAAUCACAAGAACAUUGUUAAUCUUAGGGAAGUUGUUACCGACAAGCAAGACGCAUUGGACUUCCGGAAGGAUAAGGGUUCCUUUUACUUGGUCUUCGAAUACAUGGACCACGACUUGAUGGGCUUGUUGGAAUCCGGUAUGGUGGAUUUCAACGAGAUGAAUAACGCCAGCAUCAUGAAGCAACUGCUGGACGGCCUGAAUUACUGUCACAGCAAGAACUUUCUGCAUCGAGACAUCAAGUGCUCGAACAUAUUGAUGAACAACAAAGGCGAAGUUAAACUGGCUGACUUCGGAUUAGCGCGACUGUAUAACGCGGAGGACAGGCAAAGGCCGUACACCAAUAAGGUGAUCACUCUGUGGUACAGACCCCCGGAACUUCUGCUAGGAGAGGAACGUUACGGUCCGGCGAUUGACGUGUGGAGCUGCGGGUGUAUCUUGGGGGAAUUGUUCUCGAAGAAACCUUUGUUCCAGGCGAGUGUAGAUAUGAUGCAGUUGGAGAUGAUUUCGAGGGUUUGUGGAACGCCUACUCCCGCUGUCUGGCCUUCGGUGAUCAAACUGCCGCACUGGCACACACUCAAGCCAAAAAAGCAGCACAGGAGACGACUGAGGGAGGAUUUCGCGUUCAUGCCCGGGCCAGCGUUGGACCUGCUGGAUAAAAUGUUGGUAUUAGAUCCGGAGAAGCGCAUAACGGCGGCUGACGCGCUCAAGAGCGCUUGGCUGAAGAACGUUCAGCCUGAACAGAUGCCAGCGCCGCAACUUCCGACUUGGCAGGAUUGUCAUGAACUUUGGUGUAAAAAGCGAAAGCGCUUGCUACGAGAACAGCAAGAGAGCACUGCGGCGAAGAUGCCUCUCCUUCCCUUCCCGAAUAAAGGAGGCCCCCACCCGAAGGAUGAUCUGUCAGAUGUCGGGGGGAGAUAAUAUAAUUGCGGCUGAAUAAUAGACGGACAAAUUUUGUAGCACUUGUAAAGAAUAUAUAAUAGGUCUUCUAAACGACUAA
Molecule: unclassified non-coding RNA, 4264 nt
Filed under: Ooceraea biroi (clonal raider ant)
Lineage: Eukaryota; Metazoa; Arthropoda; Insecta; Hymenoptera; Formicidae
Description: cyclin-dependent kinase 12, transcript variant X1
Source: RNAcentral